GACGAACGCUGGCGGCGUGCCUAAUACAUGCAAGUCGAGCGGACCGGAUUGGGGCUUGCCUUGAUUCGGUCAGCGGCGGACGGGUGAGUAACACGUGGGCAACCUGCCCGCAAGACCGGGAUAACUCCGGGAAACCGGAGCUAAUACCGGAUAACACCGAAGACCGCAUGGUCUUCGGUUGAAAGGCGGCCUUUGGGCUGUCACUUGCGGAUGGGCCCGCGGCGCAUUAGCUAGUUGGUGAGGUAACGGCUCACCAAGGCGACGAUGCGUAGCCGGCCUGAGAGGGUGACCGGCCACACUGGGACUGAGACACGGCCCAGCCUCCUACGGGAGGCAGCAGUAGGGAAUCUUCCGCAAUGGGCGAAAGCCUGACGGAGCGACGCCGCGUGAGCGAAGAAGGCCUUCGGGUCGUAAAGCUCUGUUGUGAGGGACGAAGGAGCGCCGUUCGAAGAGGGCGGCGCGGUGACGGUACCUCACGAGAAAGCCCCGGCUAACUACGUG
Molecule: ribosomal RNA, 501 nt
Filed under: uncultured bacterium
Lineage: Bacteria
Description: partial 16S ribosomal RNA
Rfam family: Bacterial small subunit ribosomal RNA
Source: RNAcentral